GCCUACGGGGGGCAGCAGUAGGGAAUUUUCGUCAAUGGGCGCAAGCCUGAACGAGCAAUGCCGCGUGAACGAGGAAGGUCUUCGGAUCGUAAAGUUCUGUUGAAGGGGAAAAAGAGCGGAGAGAGGAAAUGGUCUCCGAUUGAUAUUACCCUUCGAGGAAGUCACGGCUAACUACGUGCCAGCAGCCGCGGUAAUACGUAGGUGGCGAGCGUUAUCCGGAAUGAUUGGGCGUAAAGGGUGCGUAGGCGGCCUGCUAAGUCUGGAGUGAAAGGUACUGGCUCAACCGGUACAGGCUCUGGAAACUG
RNAcentral lists this ribosomal RNA (305 nucleotides) under uncultured bacterium. RNAcentral's name for it is "bacterial SSU rRNA". It matches the Rfam family "Bacterial small subunit ribosomal RNA", at positions 337 to 635 of the family's 1533-position model. The record is from RNAcentral.